CCCUUAGAUGUUCUGGGCUGCACGCGCGCUACACUGAAGCGUUCAACGAGUAUUUCACCUUGCCCGGGAGGGUUGGGUAAUCUUUUUAAAACGCUUCGUGAUGGGGAUAGAUUAUUGCAAUUAUUAAUCUUCAACGAGGAAUUCCUAGUAAGCGCGAGUCAUCAGCUCGUGCUGAUUACGUCCCUGCCCUUUGUACACACCGCCCGUCGCUCCUACCGAUUGAGUGGUCCGGUGAGGCUUUGGGAUCUGAGCGGAAAGAGCGUUUCGCUGUUUCUGCUCGGAAAACUCAGUCGAACCUUAUCAUUUAGAGGAAGGAGAAGUCGUAACA
This 328-nucleotide ribosomal RNA is filed under the name uncultured eukaryote. RNAcentral describes it as "partial 18S ribosomal RNA". It matches the Rfam family "Eukaryotic small subunit ribosomal RNA", at positions 1470 to 1796 of the family's 1831-position model. The record is from RNAcentral.